GAUGAACGCUGGCGGCGUGCCUAAUACAUGCAAGUCGAGCGAACAGAUGAGGAGCUUGCUCCUCUGGCGUUAGCGGCGGACGGGUGAGUAACACGUGGAUAACCUACCUAUAAGACUGGGAUAACUUCGGGAAACCGGAGCUAAUACCGGAUAAUAUAUUGAACCGCAUGGUUCAAUAGUGAAAGACGGUUUUGCUGUCACUUAUAGAUGGAUCCGCGCCGCAUUAGCUAGUUGGUAAGGUAACGGCUUACCAAGGCAACGAUGCGUAGCCGACCUGAGAGGGUGAUCGGCCACACUGGAACUGAGACACGGUCCAGACUCCUACGGGAGGCAGCAGUAGGGAAUCUUCCGCAAUGGGCGAAAGCCUGACGGAGCAACGCCGCGUGAGUGAUGAAGGUCUUCGGAUCGUAAAACUCUGUUAUUAGGGAAGAACAAAUGUGUAAGUAACUAUGCACGUCUUGACGGUACCUAAUCAGAAAGCCACGGCUAACUACGUA
This 497-nucleotide ribosomal RNA is filed under the name uncultured bacterium. RNAcentral's name for it is "partial 16S ribosomal RNA". It matches the Rfam family "Bacterial small subunit ribosomal RNA", at positions 28 to 507 of the family's 1533-position model. The record is from RNAcentral.